This 301-nucleotide ribosomal RNA is filed under the name uncultured bacterium. RNAcentral's name for it is "partial 16S ribosomal RNA". It matches the Rfam family "Bacterial small subunit ribosomal RNA", at positions 509 to 809 of the family's 1533-position model. The record is from RNAcentral.
CAGCCGCCGCGGGAAUACGAAGGGGGCUAGCGUUGUUCGGAUUUACUGGGCGUAAAGGGUGCGUAGGCGGACUGAUAAGUCAGGGGUGAAAUCCCAAGGCUCAACCUUGGAACUGCCUUUGAUACUGUUAGUCUUGAGUUCGAGAGAGGUGAGUGGAACUGCGAGUGUAGAGGUGAAAUUCGUAGAUAUUCGCAAGAACACCAGUGGCGAAGGCGGCUCACUGGCUCGAAACUGACGCUGAGGCACGAAAGCGUGGGGAGCAAACAGGAUUAGAGACCCCCGUAGUCCCUGUCUCUUAUAU